Long non-coding RNA from Mauremys mutica (yellowpond turtle), 2261 nucleotides. RefSeq lists it as uncharacterized. The record is from RefSeq and is a predicted model, not a curated record. NCBI's taxonomy places the organism in Eukaryota, Metazoa, Chordata, Testudines, Geoemydidae. The transcript is spliced from 4 exons.
GGGCUUACACUAUAAAGGCCUGAUCCUACAAAUGCUACUGAGCAUAGCGAUCAUACCGGGGUCUGCUUUGACAAAAUCCAGUGCAGGCGCUAGACCUGAAAAUCUAAACUGACAACGAAAUAUGUUUGUACAGAUUACUGCCAGGGAUAGUUCCACUGAAGUCAGUGAAAUUUUCUAACUGAAGACUGCCAUGUGAAAACAACUAAUUUAUGAGUAAUCCCACUAGAAGAAAUAAAAGUCUGUAUUGUGAAGAGCUCAAAUCAAUGUAAUUCCAUGGAGUGCAGAUGUAAAUGCAAGUAGGAUCUGGGCCUUAGGCCUCAAUCCUUCAAACAUUUAUCCAUAAAACUGAACACCCACUACAGGCUGCUCCAACAACUGGAAAUAGCCUUGGCAUAGGAAUGCCACACCAAGUCUCCCUUUGUCUCCUGAAUGGAAAGCUUCUGUGCAGAGAGUGGCCAGCUAUGGUGACUCUGUGCCUACACGAGGACACCCCUGAUGCCAGGACAAUUCUGUGGAGAGAAAGAGAGAUGGAUAGUAGCAGCAGUGAUCCUAGCAGACGUAGAGUGUAUAUCCGGAAUAACUCUGUCAGCGUCAGUGGAAUUAUAGUGGUGUUGACCUGGUGUAAGUGAGAUCAGAAGCCAACUCUGAAACUAAAGAUUUACAUUGCAGAAGAAGAUGGGGAAGAAGACUUGGUAACUGCUUUACUUGUAUCCUCCUUGUCAACCAGCCUUAGGCAUUCUGUUUGAGUUGUCAUCAUUCCUUGAAAGUCAGGAGUGUUAAGAAAUGGGGAAUAUUAGAUUGCCUUGUCAUCCCUGGAAGAGCUGUAGUUUUGGGAAUUACAUCAAACCACCUUGUUUGAAGUACUGAGAGGAUGGGGUGGGUGAUUUGAGAGGUGCCCACAGGUAUUUUCUGUUGGCAGGCUUGCUGAUCUUUAUUAUAUAUAACCUCUUGGUCUGAAUUGCUGCUGCUUCUUCUUGUUUUCUUUAAUCUAUGAUUUUAUUAUCAUUAUACACUGAAAAGUUUUAUAAACUACUCACGGCAUUGUUGCUGCUGUUGCUAAUAUUCCUUCCAAAGCCCCCACUGAAGAUGGUUUAUUACCAGCAAAUAGACUUCUUAGUUGCUAUCAAGAGGCCUUAUUGAUACUUGACAGAAUGAAUACCACUCUAUUGAAAUAAUUACUACAGAGUUAAGAUUAGGUAAUAUUGAUUGUGUGUAUUUAUUCCUUUGAUAUGGGCAACAAUAUUAAAAGCCAUCAAACACUAGCUUCACUAUUUGACAGCAUCAUUUAAUUCUAGCCAUGUGUUGCCAUAAGAAGAAUUAAGAUAUAAAUAAAGAAAGCAUGACUUCCGAGCUUUAAUUAGGAUUCAUGUUGCCGUGAUAUUCUGCCUCAGAAUACCAUGGAUCAGAAUGGAGAAACUAGCUUUAAAGCAGAAAAUGCUGUGGUGGCAAAGGGGAAGAGGAAACAGUUCAUUAAAUAUCAACAGCCAGAUGUGGGGUAGAUAAUUUUCUGCAAAAGGAGAGUUUCUGGAGAGGAUUGGAAGGAGUUGCACUACAAUCAGGUCUCCUUCUGCACAAUUAGCCAUUUCAUCAAAUAGCAACAAUGGGGCAGAGUAGCAAACAGAAGGAAAGUGGACAACUUUGCCCAUUCUCAUGCAGAGUGGCCACAGUCAGUAUUUCAGAUAAGUACAUUUCUAAUUCCAGCAAGGUGACAUGUAUUAUUGGUUGCACCCAAAAUGCGUGUUCAUUCAAAGUUGCAUUGUUCUGGGUCUACACUAAUUUUGAAACAAUAUCUACGUACAACACAUGGACGCUGAAAGAGAAGAGACAUUUCUGUGGCAGCAGGAACACAAGUGGCUCCUUUGCUGAACAGCUGCUCUAUGUUGGAUAUGCAAAGGUACAGCUGUGAUACUGUUCCUCCCUCUGUGGAAUAUGCUUCCUGUUUGUUUUGAACUCAAAAUGGAUUGACAUACGAGUCCACAAGAUUAAAGAGUCUUUUACAGAAAGACCGAAAGACAAUGUUCAGAAUGUAAAUAAGAAGCUCCCUCUCUUUUCAAAGAUGUUGCUUUAUCUUCUGUCCUUCAGGCUGUGGACUUUGUUUACUUUAAUGCUAUUAUUAUAGUGGUGAUGGGCCAGAAUUAGAAAGGUAACUGAUUUCCAGAUAAUCUAUUUAUUUAUUGUAUCGUUAGGCCCCAGGCCUGGAAUCCUUUACCUACAAGAGAGUAGGGUUUGCAAAAUUAUUCCCUAACUUGGUGACUCUACUC